CUAGUCUUAUCGGUGGAUCACUCGGCUCGUGGUUCGAUGAAGAACGCAGCUAACUGCGAUAACUAGUGCGAACUGCAGAAACCUUGAGCACUAAAGCUUCGAAUGCACAUUGCGCCAUUGGAUUCAUUGUCCUUUGGCACGCCUGGUUCAGGGUCAUA
This 158-nucleotide ribosomal RNA is filed under the name Pratylenchus sp. 2 WB-2017. RNAcentral's name for it is "5.8S ribosomal RNA". It matches the Rfam family "5.8S ribosomal RNA". Rfam says of the family: 5.8S ribosomal RNA (5.8S rRNA) is a component of the large subunit of the eukaryotic ribosome. It is transcribed by RNA polymerase I as part of the 45S precursor that also contains 18S and 28S rRNA. Functionally, it is thought that 5.8S rRNA may be involved in ribosome translocation. Lineage: Eukaryota; Metazoa; Nematoda; Chromadorea; Rhabditida; Pratylenchidae. The record is from RNAcentral.